CAGUUUCCAGAAAUGCUCAGGGGCUGGGGAUUCCCCACCUGUGCAGAACCAAGUAGGCAACUUCUGACAGGGAAGCAGCCGCCUUCAGGCUUGCCCUUGUCACAGGGCCCUGACACUGAGGGUGUGGGGGCCGGGAGCUGCCCUGGGUGAAAACACCACAGACUCUCAUUGGUCUCCCUCAGCCUCAGAUGCUCCUCGGUGGGUUGUGUGCCUUCGGUCUCUUGGCAGAGUGCUGACCUGGUGGUUUUCUGCCGGCUUCUCCAGUGUGGUCAUUGCUGUGCGGGAGGCGGAUUUGCUGAAUUCCUCGCUCCACCAUUCCGUGUGUCCUGCCAGCCCACCCUGAGGACGUUUGGAAGGCACAUCCUUCCAGCAAUCUGAGCACCCAAGAUGGAGACUCCGGGGCCUGGAGGAUUUUGAGAAGAGCUGGUGGGAAGGCAGUACUGCAAAGCUUUUUGCUUCCGGAAAGCUCUCUGGGGUCCUCAGCAUUUUCCUGUUUUGCAUCAAAAUCCUGAGAUCUUGAAAAUGCCAGCAAGGUUACAACGUGGGCCCCAAAAACCACUGUCUCUGGGCAUCCAACACCAAUCAAAUAUUCAGAAUUGCUUGUCACUUGAGAUGAGUGGAAAGGAAUCGGGCAGGUGGGGUGGAGGGGUGGUCUUGGACCCCACUUUGUGUUGGAAGGACAAAUGCCAUGCAGAUGAGUCUUUCUCUGGGCAGAAGGGCGGGACCUUUGUGGAGAGCCCAGCCGCAGACACUGCUGUGGUCGCACUCCUGUUCCCUCAGCCCACCUGAGUGCCCCUGCAGCUGGGAGCCAGUGCCCAGGAGACUGAUAGCGGCCCCCUGCAGUGCCUGCAUCCCUCCUCCCUGCCUGAGGGCUCUCCUGCCCCAUGGGCCCUCCCUCUCCUGCAAGGCUGUGCGGCCUUGUGCAGGAAUGCCCUGGGGUGUUCCCUCCACCUGAGGGGACCGAGCCAGUCCAGGCAGGACCUGGUCUCCUGCUGGGACAGAGUGAUGCUCACCACAGUGGUGCUGGUUCUUCAGGCCCCGCUAAGGCUUUAAUCCUCCAGGCUCACUCCCCGCAUCCUCCCUCAGGCUUCCUGGGAAGACCUGCAAACAAUUUCCCCUCCAUCCUCCUCUGCAUGGGUACCAAACUCUGCUGAGACGCCACACUGGCUGUGUCUUUGGACAGGCUGUACAGCCUUCUGGACUUGAGCUUCCUCGCCUGGAAGAUGCUGACAAAUGGCCUCCCUCAGGGAGUCAUCAGGGGGGACCCAGUGUGUGACGAUGGAAACCACUGCAAAGAACGACGCCAAGUGAUCCUAAGUGAAAGUGCCAGCCUUGCAAAAGAAGCAGGAGCUCAUGAGGCCCAGGGGGGAAUGCGGGAAGCCUGUCCCAAUGGCGCGGACAGUCCCGGAUGGAUGAGGGUGGCCUCGCAGGGCAGGCCCCCGAGCAGCAGAAGAGCCAUUGGAUGAGGAGGGACCAGGACAGAGGCUUCCAAGGAGGAAGAUUGAAGUGCUAGGAGGUGAAAGAGGCCUUAGGAAAAGUGUGAGCCCUAGAAGAUGUUUCCUCAAAUGCCAUUGUUGGUCAGAAAAAUGGUGUCACCAAGCCCCAAUCCAUUAGAUUUCUUCUUUGUUGGUUUUAGGAAUCAGUGCACACUUGUAAUCAGAGCCCAUGUUUUGUUCAACAUAGGGCAUAUUUCUUUGUCCUAACUUUUCCUUCUUUUCUUGUUCUAGCAGAGGAGCCGUGCACGUCUUCUCUCCAUUCUUUCCUGUGCAUGACUGGCCUCCUCUGUUCAGAAGCGGAUUGCUGGUGCUCAUCACUCCCCCUCACCCGAGAGAUGGCCGUCUUCCAUGUCACACAGCAGAUGUGAACCGCGGGGACAAGGGUCACGCCAGGUCACACUCACUGGCUCACAGCAGAGAAGGAGACCUUGAAGGUCAGAGAGUGACCGACAGCGGAACACCGUGUUGACGUCAUGCGCCAGAAUCUCCCCCUCUGGGGAUAUGUCCUCCAGGAUCAGAGAUUGAGGGAGGCUGAUGUUCCCAUCAGCGUGAGGAGGGGAGAGGAAAGUCAGAAACGGGGCACGUUCCACAUCGGGGCCAUUUGGAAAUUCGGAUGCCAGGAUACCCAAGAGGAAGAGUGUUGUCUGACCAGGGUCCGCCCGUGAAGAAAUCAGAUCCAGAGGAGCACACGCCCUGCAGGCCUCCGCACUCAGCACCCACAGGAUGCACGCACUCUGACGCACACACCGGCAUAUCCAUGUGCACACACGCAGCACAGGUGUGAACAUGCAUCACCCCACACACAUGCACCCCCGCGCACGGGCACGCGGGCACACACACACACACACGCCCGCGCGCACACACAUGUGGACACCAAGGGAAAGGACUGGAAAGGUGAAGACCACCCGCGAAGGGCACUCCUGAGUUGCCACUUCCUUAAUUCUUCAGUCUCUUAAAAUUCAUUAUCUUACUACAAUAAACGUUCACUGUCUUGGAAUAGAAAUCUUCAAAAAUAGAAACUAAAGAAUGUACUUUAUUCCAAAGGUGGAUCAUCAAUGGAUUUCAUUUAAGCUGUGAUAUUCACCUUUUUAGAAUUAGGAAAGGAAUACACGCACAUUCUAAGAACUUUCAACAUCCUGCCAGGAGCAGAUGAGAGACUGGAAAGUCGCGAGCCCCAUAAACAGUUUGGUGCAUAUCUCCCUGGUGUGGUUGCUCUCAUUCUGUCUCCUUCUGUCUGUCUCUCUCUCACACGCACAUUCAUUUUCAUAGAUGUCUGUCUCCCUGUUGAUGUCACAUAUCCGUGUUCUGACGGAUGGGCCGCACGGGUCCCAUUGCCUCUCCAUGAACCUGAGUUGUGUUCCCAACUCCCAGCCAUUGCAACCAGUGCUGUCAUGACUAUUGUUGAAAAGAUAUCUUGCAAACCUUGGGCAAGACCUCCUGUGGGCCACACUCCUGGCAUUCGCACUGCCAGCAAAGGUGGGGUCCUGGGGAACUUGGAAGGGUCCUGCAGGCUAUUCUCACAGAGAGCAGUGUCCUUUCCCCCUGCUCUCCAGGGAUCUGCGGGGGCCUCUGAUUCCCCAAAUUCUCACCAGGGUUGGUCGCAACCAGACCAGAAACCUGCCAGUCUGGUGGUGACCAAUGCCAUCUCCACGGUGUUUACGUUUGCACGUGUCCUCACGGGGGAGGUCGAGCAUCUCUGACAUAUGCUGUCCCUAUGUAUCGCCUCUCGGGGGAAUUGCGUGUGUUUACUCUCUGUCCCUUGAAAACAAGGACUUUCGGGAUUCUUUGGUCCAGAGGGAGGUUGCACCUUUCUCUCACCUUAGUUUAGGAGGAAGGCUUUCGAGUUUGUGGUUUGUCUUUCCAGCUGUCUCCCUUUUUAUUGCUUGUGUUUUGGCCACAGGAAGAACCAGGCACUUCCUGUGUGGCUUGGGGAUCUGGGGUCCCCCUUAGAGAGUGGUCUGUAGCCUGACAUAAUGCACAUGUUUACUAAAAGGGCUUCAUCUGAAGCAUCUAAGCCAUAAUCCAUUGGGACUUUCCUGUCAGCUGGCAAAAAUGCUAUUCAAGUAGAAAGAGAAAUGAAAAAUCGACCAGUCCUGAAAAUAUGGAAGCAGACUAGGAUGGCCACCUAUGGCAUGACACUGCUUAUCGGAUACAUCCAGAAAAGAUUGACCACAACCUGCCGGAACCCAGAUUAGGGGUUGUCAGGCAGCGAGGGAGGAACGGCGGAUGAGCACUUUGGGAACAGGCUUCCCUUGUGGUGAAGGGAAUGUUCAGCAACUGGACAGCGGCGAUGGAGGCCAAGCGUUGGGACUGGACUUAAUGCUCAGGAAUCGUACCAUUGAAAAGGAGAAAACGCAGAGUUCUUCAAACAGAAAUCAAUUAAUUUUAAAAUUUAUAGAAACACCAAACAAAGAGACAAACACGGAAAGAAAAAAAGGCUCAACAGACAUACAGGGGAAGCAGGGAGAGGAAGGGAGGUUGUGGUGAGGAAGAAGGUGAAAGGGAUGGGUCAGGAGCUGGGGAUGAUGGGCGUUGGAGAGUGAGCUCUCCCGAGGACAGGGCUGGGGCAUGAGCAGGCUCCAGGAUUCCAGGAGGAUGUGGAGCAGGGGAUGGCUGUCCGUGGUCUCCAGCUGUGGCUUCAGCUGGCUCGCUAGCCCCAGCAGGAGGCAGAUCAGUGGAUGGCUCUUUCUGGACCGUGGCUGGGGCUUCAGCAGUCUCCCAGGCACAGGCAGAAUCUGGAGCAGGGGAUGGCUCUCCCUCUUCCCUGGCUGCGACUUCAGCUUGCUCCUGGGCCCUGGCAGGAGCUGGAGCAGGGCAUGGCUCUCCCUGCUCCAUGGCUGAGUCUUCAGCCAGGCCAGAGUCCCAGCAGGAGCCGGAGCAGGGGAUGGCUCUCCCAGCUCCUGGGCCCUGUCUUCAGCUGGCUCCACAGCCCAGCAGGAGCUGAAAAGUCAAAGCCCGUGUCUUUCCAGUGCUGGCAGUCCCCCUCUCCCUCUCCCAAGCUCCGCUCACAAAGCCAACCUGUGGCUGUGACAGCAGUGCCCGGCUGUCCCCUGCCCUGGAUUACAAUGGGCACAGAUAUAUUGGGGGGUUUCCUGCCAACCUCUGCCCAGUGUCCACUCACAGAGUGGCAUCAAAACUUCCUCAGUCCCAGGACUGGCGUGCUCUGCUCUCAUCUGCGAGCUCCCCAAGGUCCCCUCUCUUAGCUGGGGCUGGGGAGGACCCUACAUGUCCCCACAUCCAGACCCAGUGGCUCAGAAAGGUGGCCCAAGAUGGCCAUGGGGUCCUAAAGGUCAGCCUGGGAGAUGCUGCCAGGAGGGUCCUGUGGUAGGUGGGCAAGUUUCUCUUGGUGCCAUCAGCUUGGGGUGGGGGCCACGACUUUCCUGUCUCUCCAGAGCCUUCUCUGCUGACCUCCAUGGCUUCCUCUGUCACCUCACAGGGGAUGAGCCCCACCAGACCCUGCAUUUCCUUGUGGACACCACACUGGUCACCGAGGCCAUGCUGCCCGGUGGGGAGGCCACAGUGGGCAUCUCUGAGUUCCCCAGCUCCCUCUCUUCCACCAGAGGCCUGUGGCCUGCAGAGGGUGGGAGGGGAGCCUGCUGGUGCUUGGGGGGCUCUGGAACCCCUGAAUCUUGAGAGUUGAGGUGUGCACACCUCUCCAGCUUGGAUGAGUGCCUGGGCAGAGGGCAGUGGCAUGGGCAGCACCUCUUGGGGGACUUGGGAGACCCCCGUGGAGGAUGGAGAUGCAGAGCCAGCCCCGCCCAACUCUCUGUGGGUGAGGACUGGGGCUGAGGGAGAAGGAGGUUUGUAGGGAACCAGGGGAGCCCAUGCCGAGGGUGGAGCCAGAGCAGACAUUUCUAAUUGGAGUGAGGGAAGCGGUGCCCAGGGCUCCCCCUGUCCCUGCCUCUCCCCUCCUUGGCUUUCACCACUCUGGACUGUACAGGGAUGGGGUGGGCGAGGGGCGAGGGGUGGGGGUAGUGUAGACGGUUUGAGCUUUUCUCACCAGGGAGAGGCACAGAGGCAAAGACACAAGCUCAGAGCCAAGGUGGUGGCUCCCAGCGCCCACUCACCCCGCCUCUCGGCAGCCUGGCCCAGGAACCCCGUUUCCCUCCCUGUGCCGCCUGCCUCCCCACCCUGAGCCCAGAGACCCUCAGCCCCCAUGGGGCAUCUUCCUCAGGCCUCCCUGAGCCAGGCUGCCCUCAGGGUCUGCCUUUGCCUGGAGGAAACGUGGUAAUGGGCUCUUGGGCCUGAACAUGGGAUCAAGGGUCACCCAAGAUGGCAGCGCCCAGCAUGGGAUUUCUCUGACAUUUUCUUCAUGUCACACAAGGGACCUGAGCUCCACGUGGGCAGGAAACAUAUUGGGUUUUGCUCCCUGGUGAAGUUACAGUGCUGGGCACACAAGCAGGGAAUAGAGGCCACUGGCUGAAUGAUUAAAAGAAUGAAUUCCUACCUGAACGAAUGAACGGAUGAGGAACAAGUGAAGGCCUGAAUGAAUGAAUGACUGGAUGAAUGAGUGAGUGAGUGAGGCCAUGAGUGAAUGAGUGGAUGAAUAAGCCAGUGAACGGAAACACAGACGCCGCGAUGCAAACGGGAGGAGGCUCUAUUUCUUGUCCUGGGGCCUCUGCCCAGCUCAAGGGCCCAGCCAGUCCCUGGCGCUCCUGGCCUCCGUUUCCCCACUGUCCCCUGAGGGGCGGGUGGUGGGGCUGCAGCAGCCCAGCUUGGCAUGGCCAUGGCCGGGAUCUCCCCGCGGGCUGUGGCGGGGACGCGCUCGGGGCCGCACGGCCUCCCUCCAGCGGCGGACAUGGGCGGA
RNAcentral lists this long non-coding RNA (6303 nucleotides) under Equus caballus (horse). RNAcentral describes it as "lncRNA (ENSECAG00000059780.1)". Lineage: Eukaryota; Metazoa; Chordata; Mammalia; Perissodactyla; Equidae. The record is from RNAcentral.